UUCAAAUUACAUAUAAAAUGGUAUAGUGUUUGCAUGUAAUAUCACAACCUUCCUGUAUAGUUUAUAUCAUCUCUAGAUGAAUGGUAAUGCCCAAUACAAUGAAAAUACUAUGAAGUUUUUACCUUGUACUAUUUAGGUAAGAGUGGCAAGAAAAAAAGAUCCCUAUGUGCAUCUGAUACAUAUACAUUUUUAUCGCAUAUUUUCUAAUUGUGGUCGGUUGACUUCAUGGACCCAGAACUUGAAGAUUUGGCUGGAUUUCCCACUCUAAAAUAUUUUUACUGUUGCUUUUUUUUAUUUACCAUGGUUGUUUUGUUUAUAAUUUUAUUUCAGAGAGAGUGUCCCAUGUAGAUUAGGUAAGCCUCAAUUUGAGACCCUGCUACCGUGCCACAUAGCAUCUCUUGUGCUGAUGUGUGCACUAUCACAUCCGGUUUGCAUAUGUCCAGUAGCUCUUGAGAGCCUACAAACUGUAUAAAGAGGGGCCUUGAACAACUAAUAGUCAAGAACAGCCUGACCCCCUGCAGACAGUCAAACCAGUUCCCUGGCAAGCAGGGCCCAUCUUUUUUAGAGUCAGGAUUCUCUCUAGGAAUUAAUCACAAGAGAACAUUCAUUAAGACUUUUUCAGGGCAUUCACCCAGACAAAGUUAAAAGUUGAACAGCAGUGCCUGGCCCUUUAAUAUCCCUGCCUCUAGAACACAUUUCUCCAUCCUUGCAGAGGCUGUAACUGUAUUUUGUGCAUUCACUGUUUAGCUAAUUUUCUCUGUGCUCAAUCUCUUGGGAUGCUGGAGGGGAAAUAAGGAGACAUGUGAUUCAGGUCUGCUUAUACAAAAGGCAAGACUGGAGAACAGGGGCCAGUAAUCAGAAUUAUCCAAUUUAAUGCCUGACUUGUUUAUCCUACAGAAAACAUCACCUGUGAUGCCUCCAUUGAUCCCUUCAGAAUAUAGCUUCUUUAUCCCAGGUUCCUGCAGAUUGUGAAGUUAAAUGAAGAGUUUAGCAGAAAAGCAGAAGAAUUAAAAGGAAAAGCAACCCCAAGAGGCACACACAUGAGUAAUGAACAAAGUGGGCCCAGGUUCCUUUAUGCCUCUGGUCACGGCCACCCUGGUGUUGGCGUGAAAAGGACAGUCAGUAGCAAGAUACGGGAGGGACUCAGACACAAGUGUAAGAGGCCGAAAGCAGAAGAAAGAAACCUUCCAGAAACAACUACACCUUCACCAUGAAGCACACACAGUCCAUGAAAAGCAGGCUUUGUCUGAGACUGAAAACCAAGUUCAGAGAAGCAUUUUCCUUUUCUUCAGGGAGCAAUGAAUAAACCCUCCUCACCCCAUGCCCAGGAGGGUAGUAGCGGGUAACUCAACUCUACAGAUGUUGAAUGAUCCAGGUAACCUCAAAGAACCUGUAUCUGUACCUACAAAUGGGAACUACUGGAUUCUAACCAUCAAUUCAUCAAAGCCAUAUAGUAGAUUACAAGCCAUGAAAUUAUUUCCCCCCAAACAUGAGUAAUCAUAUAUGCAUUGAUGCACCAUGGCAACCACUGUGAUGCAUUUAGGCACUUUGUCAUUGUGAACUCAGUAAGUCUGACAUCGGAAUUCAGCUCAGCUCUUACUGUAAAUAAUAAUUAUUAAUCUUUACACCAUUCCUCUUCAAAUGACAAAGAACACACUGUGAGUUCUAACCCCUCAAAGUACAAAGGACAUGGCAGAAGGCAAAGGAGAGCCCUUUUACCUUCAUGUAAUCGGUAUGGAUGCAUUUCAAAGAGUAUGGCUAGGUCACCACAGAAUAACUGGAACAUGUGAGCUCUGACUACCUCAUAUGGGGCAAUAGUGAUGUAUCAGCAGCAGGAAAACAAUGGAGAUUCUUCAUCAAUCCCCAUCAAAACGAUGGAUCAGGAACAGUUGGGAUAGAUGAUCUCCACCCCUUUCCAAAAGAUGACCUACCCAACAUAUCCUAAGACAGCAAUUCACCAAUCACAGCAAUUCAUAGAUCCAUCAAAGACUAAUUCAACAUAAAAUGCUGCUGGGACACGACCUGAGAGACUAUUGAAGGCUAGCAGAGAGAAAACAAACCGUCCAAGGUUCCAUUUAAUUUGAAUGUUGGCACAUGCCAUUAGUUGAACUCCAGCACAUUCCUGCCAUCUCCAGUACCCAGUGGCGUCGAUACUGAAGAGCUGUCUCUCCCGGUCUGAUGUGUAACUGCUCAAGGAGUACCUGAGUUCACCAUUAGAGCCCUCGUCCGGGUCAGAGGCAUUUAACUUCACUACCAAGGUGCCUGGAGGGGCGUCCUCC
Long non-coding RNA from Rattus norvegicus (Norway rat), 2279 nucleotides. RefSeq lists it as uncharacterized. The record is from RefSeq and is a predicted model, not a curated record. NCBI's taxonomy places the organism in Eukaryota, Metazoa, Chordata, Mammalia, Rodentia, Muridae.